GGCACAUGUAAAGGCGUCGGUGAGAAUGGGUGUUGGGACGGCGAGUUGUAGGGAGAAUAAAAAAAAAUUGCAAGAGGAAAUGGGGGUUGGCCCAAUGUGGGUGUUUGGAGUGGAGUGUGUGUUGUGGGGGAGGAAUAAGAAAAAAAGAAAAAAUGGAGAAAAGAGAUGGGUCGUCGAUCGUGUGUGGUGUUGGGAGAGAGGAAAAAAAAAAGAACAAAAUGGAAGAGAGGAGAUGGGGAGAUGGGUUGGC
Molecule: long non-coding RNA, 250 nt
Filed under: Vitis vinifera (wine grape)
Lineage: Eukaryota; Viridiplantae; Streptophyta; Magnoliopsida; Vitales; Vitaceae
Description: long non-coding RNA (VVIN_LNC004749)
Source: RNAcentral